Branchiostoma floridae (Florida lancelet) is the source of this 1284-nucleotide long non-coding RNA. RefSeq lists it as uncharacterized. The transcript has 2 exons. Lineage: Eukaryota; Metazoa; Chordata; Leptocardii; Amphioxiformes; Branchiostomatidae. The record is from RefSeq and is a predicted model, not a curated record.
AGGGAGUCUCCUAACCCAGUUGUAAGGCAAGAGGAAUUACCAGACAGGAGAGCUGAGUGGAAGAGAAGGAGUACCCGUCGCCGGUGAGGAGUCCCCUUGUGACAUGCUGUAACAAGUAGCAGGGCUCCAAAAUGUGUUCCUGAGGAGAUAGCUAAGCAACAACUAUACCUUCUCCUUUUUGUGUUAGUGUUCUUUUCUGUCCUUUUAGACUGAAUCAUUGUUCAUUUUUAUGAAUGUUAAGCAAAAGUCCUUAUUACCUGAAUAGCAGUAUCUGAUCAAUGAACAGAAUAUCAAUCUAUGGGUUUGAUGUGUGUAAAUUGAAAGAAGUUUUUGCUGUUGAGAGAAUUGUGAUCAAACCUGGUGAACAGGCUUAUCAAUUGAUGUCAUCUUCGCCAUGUUGGAUUACAGCCUACGUCUGUUAACCACACGAAGAUGCUACCUGACAACAUGGUCGUUGGGAGAUAAGUAUCAGUAUUACGUCAAUGAAAAGCCUGUAUAGUAUCAUUGUCAGCAAUACUAGAAGCUUGGCAGUAACACUUCUGAUAUAUAUACGACCAGUACUACAGCAGGCUUUUAGGCAUCCUGAAAUGAGACUUUAUUUAAAGGCAUUUAGUUUAUCAGUUUAUAAAUGCAGGAUGCAUGAUGAGCAAGCUUCUUUUUUCAUGUUUCAGACUUAUAUCUGCUUUUUGGAGUUUUCAACUACUAAAAGAGUAACCACUUUAAAAGUAUAUUACAUUCUGCUUUUAUUGCUGUUCAGUUUUGAUAGCUGUUGUGGAUUUAGCUAGUACUUGGUUAAAUAGUACAUAUAUUAUAUGUUUUUACUAUUAUGUUAAGUUGGAGCUUACUUUUUCUACACGUUACUGUUUAACUUUUUGAGUUAAACAAAUAGUGUAACAUCAAUUAGGUGCUUGAAGCUAAGACUAGUACAUAUUUCUAUCAUUAUAUAACUAGAUUGUGCUUCAUAAUAUUUACUAAUGAAUAAAAGAGUUCUCUAUGACGUAUAUUCUAUGGCUCACAAAAUUUCAUAGCUUAGUAUUAACAUCUUAUUUUAAAUCACUUAGUAAGUGACUUUUAACAGGUUGCUUCCUACAUGUAGUAUCUCUGAUCAUUUGUAAAUUUGGCUUUUAUUGGAUUGGAAAAUGAUCAUGAGAGCAUCUUUCUAGUCAUGUUUCUAGUGUCACUAUUAAAAAGAGUAAUCGAUGCAAGACAGUCGAUAAUCUAGAUGUUAGUAACUGUAUUCUUAAUUAUGUUCCCUUGCACUGAAUUAAACUUUCUUGUAAACAA